Centrocercus urophasianus (Greater sage-grouse) is the source of this 316-nucleotide long non-coding RNA. RefSeq lists it as uncharacterized. The transcript has 3 exons. Lineage: Eukaryota; Metazoa; Chordata; Aves; Galliformes; Phasianidae. The record is from RefSeq and is a predicted model, not a curated record.
AAUCUUAUGACGAAAAGUCAACUUUUGUCCCAGUUUUGGUGAAUUGAUGACAUUUUUAUGUCAGACUCCAUCAAGGAUAAUCUGCUCAGAAUAGGAAAUAAAAUGGUGAACUGGAACCACUUGGCAGAGUGAUGUGGGAGAAAACCCUGAAGGGAAGAGUGGCCCAAGAAAGCCAGUUGGCAUUCAGAGACCAUCUCUUCCAAGCCUAGAAGCAGUACAUCCUGAGAAAAAGGAAGGCAGCCACACCACCCAAGUUGCAGAUGGCAGUGAUAAGAACUUGGAGAAUGUAGACUUACAUGCUGUAAGUGAAGGUGAG